UCUUGAGAAAGCAACAUGAAAAGUGUAACACCUGGAGCCUGUUCCCUGGUCGGACUGCCAGAUGACUGCAUCUGUCACCAUGAAAUGGGUCGGAGGAAGGAGAAGUGGUGGGGGCCGCAGCGAAUCCCAGUCUUCAGUCGUCACGUAAAGGUAGGAUGGUUAACACCCUGCGCGCCCUACAUUCAGAGCUACGUACAGAAACAAAAUAGCCAUUCACACUAACAUUCACACCUAUGGUUAACUUAGAGUGAACAAUUUGCUUCAAUUUGCCUGCAUGAUGUUGGACUGUGGUGAGAACCCCAGUCUCAGUUCUGCCAGGGAAUCCUCCUCCAUGUGGCCGUCAGUUGUAAUCAUUCAGUUUCAUCGGUUCUUCUGUUGCUGUUUCUUGAUUAGGUCUACUGUGUGUGUGUGUGUGUGUGUGAUGGUGUCAUCUCUGCGGAGCUGUUUUCCUUCCCAGCUGGUUGGCAGAAUCCAACACGUAAUUGUUUGAUGAAAGGAACCUCAAUUAGGAUGAGGCAUGUGGACCCUAAUGUUAACAUUUGUGUUCUGGCAGCCCUGGAGGUGGCUGGGGGCCUUUAACAUAGCAGACAAUCACUAACCCUCUGAGACUGAGGCUGUGGCUGAAAAUUAAUUCCUCCGGUCAUCAGUGGCUUUUACACAGAGUCUUUCGUAUAUUGUUUUAAUAGAGGAACGGAGAUGACGUUAGGAGGGAGCAGUGUUUUGUCUGCUCAUAAGGGAGGGGAGACCAAAAGGUUUCCAUUGUCUCAAAUGAAGUUGGCAGUGAGAGUGGUUUACUUGGAUUCUCCCUGCAUAGAGUAAUUUGUAUUAUAUCGAUAACCUGCAUUCAGCCCCACUUGUGUUUGUCUGCGGCAAAAAGAAAUGAUGCCAUAUGGAACCGAGGCCAAGGGGAAUAAAAUUCCAGCCAGACGGUUCAGUGAAUCACCAACUAUGUUGCAUGUGAAGUGUACAUUUGCGUGACUUGUUGUUUAUUGCCCACAUUCGCCUUCGUGACUGUCUUCCGUCUUUGUGCCAAGUCUGAGGCCACGUAACUGAAGCUCUCCAUUUCAUUGGUAGAAAAAUUGACUUGUUUUUCUCCCUUAAAUUCUUCUGCUUCAUUUGACGUCCACUGUGCGGCAUGUCCUGGGACAUGUAUGUUAUAUAAAUGUGCGGCGCAGCCUGUGUGCUGCAUGAAGAAUCAGAAAUGUUACAAUGACAACUGCCAGAUUUUGUAUCCCUCGUCUUCCAGUAAAAUAUUCUCCUGGUUCCAGUAAAAAUAGUCUCAGAUUUAUGGGAAUUAUUGAAUCCUUCAUGUCUUACCUUUAAUUUGAUUCUUCUGUAUCCACGUAGGAGACAACGUAAAUACACAUCAUUUCUUUUUAAUAUUCUUUAGUCAGGAGAAGUGUGCCAUGGAUUUGCCUGAUGUGUGAGCCGGUGGUUUUUUUUUUUUGUUUUUUUGCCUCCUCUCUGUGUACACUCAGUUCUGUUUAUUGAUCUUGCCAAAAGCUGUAACGUCCUACGCAGAGCAUUCAGCGGGUCUUCGUGGUCGUUGAAACUUUUCCACUGCCACUUUUCUUGCCAUUAUAUCAGACAUCAAACAUGUCUGAUACUGUCAUCAUUUUUUAUUUUUUUUUGCUCUGUGCACGAUGUCCCAGACUGGAAUUUACAGUUGUAAAAUGUAAGACAUUGUCUGAUAGCAUGUCAGUCCAAGUCGUAAUCACAUACAGAAAUAUACAGAUGUAUUUUUGGAAAACUGUUUCAAAACUCAAAUUGAUCUGAUAUUUAAGGACACAGCAAACAACAUUAAAUGCGUUAUUUUCAUCCUAAAAGCAGAGAAAACGUUACAUUUUCUUUAGAUUUUACAUUGA
Long non-coding RNA from Cynoglossus semilaevis (tongue sole), 1865 nucleotides. RefSeq lists it as uncharacterized. The transcript is spliced from 3 exons. The record is from RefSeq and is a predicted model, not a curated record. Lineage: Eukaryota; Metazoa; Chordata; Actinopteri; Pleuronectiformes; Cynoglossidae.